UGGGGAAUCUUGCGCAAUGGGCGAAAGCCUGACGCAGCGACGCCGCGUGGGGGAUGACGGGUUUCGGCUUGUAAACCCCUGUUGCCCGGGACGAACUUCUCCUUUCGAGGAGAUUGACGGUACCGGGUGAGGAAGCACCGGCUAACUCUGUGCCAGCAGCCGCGGUAAUACAGAGGGUGCGAGCGUUGUCCGGAAUCACUGGGCGUAAAGGGCGCGUAGGUGGCGGCCCAAGUCCGUGGUGAAAGCUCGCCGCUUAACGGCGAGUCGGCCACGGAGACUGGGUGGCUCGAGCACUGUAGGGGCAGGUGGAAUUCCGGGUGUAGCGGUGGAAUGCGUAGAGAUCCGGAAGAACACCAGUGGCGAAGGCGGCCUGCUGGGCAGUUGCUGACACUGAUGCGCGACAGCGUGGGGAGCAAACAGGAUUAGAUACCCCCGUAGUCC
Molecule: ribosomal RNA, 441 nt
Filed under: uncultured bacterium
Lineage: Bacteria
Description: bacterial SSU rRNA
Rfam family: Bacterial small subunit ribosomal RNA
Source: RNAcentral